RNAcentral lists this ribosomal RNA (465 nucleotides) under uncultured bacterium. RNAcentral's name for it is "SSU rRNA". It matches the Rfam family "Bacterial small subunit ribosomal RNA", at positions 26 to 518 of the family's 1533-position model. The record is from RNAcentral.
AGGACGAACGCUGGCGGUGUGCUUCACACAUGCAAGUCGAACGGGGUAGCAAUACCUAGUGGCGGACGGGUGAGUAACGCGUGGGAAUCUGCCUUAAGAUGGGGGAUAGCAAGCCGAAAGGCUUAUUAAUACCGCAUAUGUAUUUAUCCAGACAUGGGUAUCUAUGAAAGGAGUAAUCCGUCUUAAGAUGAGCCCGCGUCCGAUUAGCUAGUUGGUAGGGUAAAGGCCUACCAAGGCGACGAUCGGUAGGUGGUCUGAGAGGAUGAUCACCCACAAUGGGACUGAGACACGGCCCAUACUCCUACGGGAGGCAGCAGUGGGGAAUUUUGUGCAAUGGGCGAAAGCCUGACACAGCGACACCGCGUGGAUGAAGAAGCCCUUUGGGGUGUAAAAUCCUGUCGGCUGGAACGAAAAAAUGACGGUACCAGCAGAGGAAGCAUCGGCUAACUACGUGCCAGCAGCCGC